ACGCGAAAUGUAGUAGCAUUGUUGUUGUAGUGCGCUGACCUGUACUUCUAAUCAAACAAAAGUAGGGCUCUGGUGCCACCUCGCGGACGAGGAUUUACAGUAGCUUCUCCGCCACCAAUAUCCAUACUCGCGGUUGUAGCGAGCAGAGCAACCAAAGAAAAAGAGAAACGAGAACGCAAGGGAGCUCUGGGGAGCUUGAAAUGUCAAGACCCACCCCGAAUUUCACCUUGACACCCAAAGAUAGGUUUUUAUCCCAACUCCCCCUGAACUGCAAGGCACAAGCUCUCAACAUAUCCUCCAAAGUCUAAAUAGUCCUCUCCGAUUGCCCAUCGUUCUGAGGAUGAAAAGUAGUGCUGAAGUGCAAUCGGGUGCCUAAAGCUGCUUGAAGAGCUCCCCAUAAUUUAGAAGCAAAUCUAGGAUCCUGAUCCGACACUAUUGAUUCAGGUACAUCAUGAAGUCUCACAAAUUCAUUCACAUAAAGCUCCGCCAAUUUAUCCAGUAUAUACUUCUUUCCCACUGGUAAGAAAUGUGCCGAUUUAGUGAGUCUAUCCACAAUCAUCCAAAUACCGUCAUGCCCUUCACGGGUACGAGGUAAACUGAAAACAAAAUCCAAGGUGAUGUGGUCCCACUUCCACACUAGAAUAGACAACGGCUCAAUCAAACACCUACUCACAAAAGCUGCAAUUUCUCUCUUCAUGUUUGGCCACCAAUAAUAAUCCUUCAAGGUCCGAUACAUUUUUAUACUACCCGGAUGAGCAGCAUAUGCAGAACUAUGAGCUUCCUCCAUUAUUUCCUUCUUUAACUCUUCCUUUCUCUUUGGAACACAGCCUAUUUUUGAACAAUAAAGUUUCAUCUCUUCUAACUAAAAAAUCAACGGUGGUUCCACUCAAUGUUCUUUCUAUCAACCGAACAAUAGAACGAUCAUUAUAUUAUGCCUCCCGCACUUUAUCAACCAAAAUUGGCCUCACAUGGAAACUAACUACCAAAGCACCAACUUCAUCUACCGAUAAAUCCACCCCUGUAACUCGCAACUCAUAAAGAAGUGGAACUCGAACCGUCCUCAUGUGAGACAAAGAUAUGGAGGGAUUUCGAUUAAGAGCAUCUGCUACCACAUUAGCUUUUCCAGGAUGAUACUCAAUAGUGCAAUCAUAAUCAUUGCUCAACUCCAUCCACCUUUUCUGUCUCAUAUUUAGCUCUCUUUGAGUGAACACAUACCGAAGACUCUUGUGAUCGGUAAAAAUCUGACAAUUGGCUCCAUAAAGAUAAUGUCUCCAUAACUUGAGAGCGAAAACUACCGUACUACCGUUGCAAGCUCUAGAUCAUGAGUGUGAUAAUUUAUCUCAUAUGGCUUCAAUUGCCUAGAAGCAUAGGCAAUAACUCGAUCAUGCUGAAUCAAUACUCCGCCUAGACCUCGUCUAGAAGCAUCACAAUAAACCACAUACUCCCCACUAUCAUCCGGAUGUGCCAAAACAGGAGCACUAGUCAAGCGAUUCUUCAAUUCUUGAAAACUUUGCUCACAUUGAUCUGACCAUUCAAACUAAUACCUUUCUUGGUCAAUCUUGUAAGAGGAGCAGCAAUCUUUGAAAAAUCUUGUAUGAAGUGUCGAUAAUAACCUGCUAAUCCCAAGAAACUACGGAUCUCCGUCACAGUGGUGAGUUUUCUCCAAUUUGACACUACUUCCACCUUUUGGGGAUCCACACUAACUCCUUCUGCCGAAACCACAUGACCCAAGAACCCCACUUUAUCUAGCCAAAACUCACACUUGCUAAACUUGGCAUAUAACUGAGAAUUUCUCAAAGUCUGCAAUAUCAUUCUUAGAUGCUUGACAUGCUCUUUCUCACUUCUUGAGUAAACCAAGAUGUCAUCUAUGAAUACGUUCAUGAAACGAUCAAGAUAUUGACUAAACACCCUAUUCAUUAGAUCCAUGAAUGCCGCGUGUGCAUUAGUAAGUCCAAAUGGCAUCACCACAAAUUCAUAAUGACCAUAACGUGAUCGAAAAACAGUCUUGGCUAUGUCACUCUCCCGGAUCCGCAACUGAUGAUAUCCCGAUCUCAAAUCAAUUUUUGAAAAGACGGAAGUACCUCUCAAUUGAUCAAAUAAAUCAUCAAUGCGGGGCAAAAAAUAUUUAUUCUUCACUGUGACUUGAUUUAACUUCCUAUAAUCAAUGCAUCUCAUGGUGCCAUCUUUCUUCUUAACAAACAACACCGGAGCACCCCAUGGAGACAUGCUAGGCUGAAUAAAUCAUUUGUUUACCAACUCCUACAAUUGAGUCUUUAACUCCCUCAAUUCCGCUGGAGCCAUUAUGUAAGGUGCAUGUGAGACAGACAUAGUUCCAAGAAGUAACUCAAUAGAAAAGUCAGUCUCCCUUACAGGAAGCAAACCAGGCAACUCCUCGGGAAAGACAUUCAGAAACUCUCUUACUACGGGAAUAUCUUCUACUCCCAAAACUCCCACAGUUGUAUCCACAAUGUGUGCUAAAUAUGCCUGACAGCCUUUAUAUAACAAUUUUCUAGUAGCAACAGCUGAUAUCAAGCAACUCGAAAUAACGUCUUUUUCCCCUUGAAAAGUAACCUCAAAUCCUUAUGGACUGCGAAGCACCACUACUUUUUGAAAAUAAUCUACCAUAGCUCUAUAUGCCUCCAAAAAGUCUAUUCCCAAGAUCACAUCAAACUCCACUAUGUCUAAAGGAAUUAAAUCGGCCUUGAAAUUUAAUCCCUCUACUAAUACUUCACAACCACUAAACACCCAAUUUAUUCUCAUCACCUCACCAGAGGGUAGAGACACAUGCCAUUCGUCUAGAAGAGACAAUGAUGACACAUUGGCAUGGAGAGAAAAUCUACUAGACAUAAAUGAAUGCGUGGCUCCGGGAUCAAUUAAAGUAAAAGCAGGCUGACCAAAAAUUAAUAACGUACCAAUGUCUAGAGAAGUACGACCUUACUACUGGGUCAUAGCAUGCAGUCUAGCGCGAGUCAUAGGACGUCCACGUUGACCACUACCCUGCUGGGACUCACCCCUAGCUGUUGAACUGCCAUGAGUACCACUGCUAGAGCCUCUGGCUGAAGAUUGACCGACUGGAUAGGUAGGGGUGGGGGUGGUCCUCUGAGCCAACAAGGGACAAUCUCUCCUGAAAUGAUCCUGACCACCACACUCAUAACACCCUGUAGACUACUACUGACCAAAAGAAAAGGUCUGACCACCAAAUGUACCACCCUGGAAGCUGCCACCAGUACUAAACUGUCCAGUCUACUGUCUCCCCAACUGGCUCCUGAAAGGUUUCCUGAAACGUCCUCUAGUCCUAUUUUGAGUACCAGAUCUCGAUCCACUGCUAUUGCCACUACCAGCUGAUGACCCUGAAGCAGAUGAUGAAGCAGCCUUCUUGGAUGGACCCUGAUUGGGGCCAUUAUAAUCUUGGGGCCGUGCACCAUAUGUCCCCCUGGUCUCAAUGGCCAUGGCUGCACUAAUUGCAUCAAUGAAGGUCGGGUAUAUUACACCGGUCAUCUUAUCUGCAUACACUCCACCAAGUGCCCCAAUGAACAUCUCUAUCCUGGUUUUCUCAUCCGGAACCAGGUAUGACACAUGAUAGCUCAAGGAAGUGAAUCUCUGCUCGAACUCUAUGACACCCACAUCAUUCCUCUUUUUCAUGAAAGUCCGACUGAAUCCUACUGCGAUGAGCAUAACUGAAAUAUUGCCCCAAGAAGAGCAUCUUAAACUGCUCCCAAGUCAUAUUGUGAGCAUCCUCAUUGUUCUUGCUGGCAAGCGACCACCGGUGAUGUGCUGAAUCAUCUAGAAAAGUCACCGCCAUCUUCACUUUCUUAUCCUCCGGCAAAUCAGUGCUCAUAAAAGCCUUUUCCAUCUUGUCUACCAAAGUGUAAGCAUCAAGGGGUCCUUUGGCACCCUUGAACUCCCCUGCCCCAGCCUUAAAAACAUCCUUCUUCUUCAUAGUCCGAGGGUUCUGAGCCCGAUCCAGAACACCCAUUAGCAUAUCCCCUAUAGAAUCUAUUAAUUCUCUGACCCCAUUGCCCUCAUUGGCGUUGGUCGAACCAGUUUCACGGGGUUGGCGUUGGCGUCUAGGAGGCAUAGUACUUGAAGAAGAAGAUAUUUAGUAGUCUAUAAAUAAGACUAAUACAACUAUCACACAUACCCAAUAACACAUAGCAUCCAAAGCAUAAACUGUUAAUGAAUCCGCUCCGGUCGGAUCAUCACUCUAUAGACACUACGUGCUACUUAGGUAAAUAUGAUAGUGACAAGGAGGCAGGAAAUGAAACCUAAAGCUCUGAUACCAACUGUCAAGACCCACCCCGAAUUUCACCCUGACACCCGAAGCAAGUCUUGGAGGGGUCCACCUCCAAAUUAGGCCUAAGUCUGAUGUCGAUCUGAGGCCUUUUCUGCUCGAGCCUCCUCACGCUUGUUCCAAAUGUAUAAUUAAAUUCCCAAUCGAAAUUCCAAUAUUUACACAAAAUAGGCAAAAAUAAAUGUGAGCCUCAACCACGCUCAUCAUUGCCUAACUUUGAAAUUCCUAAUUCAAAAUGUUCCAAACUUCAAUACCAAAACCAGCAGCCUUAUUUAGACCUUUCCACAGAUUAAGCAACUUUAAACCAACGGCCGGAUUGUAUCCUAAUUAACCGCCAAAAUACCAAACUUUGAAAAAAUCUCAUACCUAUCCAAAACUCCUCUAAAAAUUCCGAAAUUCACAUCAUUAAACUCCCCUUAAUAUAACAUAAUUACAACCAUGAAAAUCCCCCUAAUAGCGGCGGCACCGCAAUCUGCUCCGUCGACAACGGCAGCCGGCGACCUCCAAUACCUACCAAAUUUUAACAGCAUCUUCCUCUCAACUCACUCUACAACUUUCUUAACUAGCACAAAACCCAAUUUCAAACUUAACUAGGUCAAUCGAACAAAAACAUUACAAAGAGCCUUAGAGUUCCAAACAAUGAUUCUCUUUACCUAGCAUGAAUUGCACCAAAACCUUUCAAGGGAUUGAAGCACGGAAAGAGGGCUUCCUUUUGAGCCUAGCAGCUCCGGCUAUGGCGGCCGGAGGAGAGAGCUCCGGCGAGAAGACAACCGAGCUUCUAAGGAGGAUUUCCUCCGUUCGGCGGCGUUGCAGCGUCGCUCACCAGCCCAGGAAGACGGCGAAGAGGACGGCAGACUGAGCUGGACCGGUGCGGCAUCUCCUCUUGGCCGGACGCCGACAAUGGGGCUCGGGGAGUUUCCGGCAAUGUGAGAGGAAGAGAGAGGGUCGGGGAGAAGAGGAGAAGGAAGAGAGGAGAGAAAUGGUUUGGGCCUCUAAUCCCCAAACCGGUCCAACACCUUAAUACCCACACCAAAAAUAAACCCAACUCCAAAAAUAACACCACAAAAUAAUACCCCAAUAAAAAUUACGUUUUACUAGCUAAAAUUUACUAUUUUUACCGUAGUCACAUUUUUCUCCUACGAAUAAUUCCACUGAAAUAGUCAUCCCCCAAAACCCCUCUCGGGACCAAUUUAACUAUAAACUCAUUGACGAAGACGGUAAAACUCUUAUUAAUACUAAGCUAGUAAAUAAGGUAAAAAUUUAAGAGUUGAGAUGUGACAUGAAAAGUAAAGGGUGCAGAGCUCCGGAGAACUUGAAAAGUAAAGGGUUGCUAAGGCGAGAUGCUUUAGCGUUUAGAGGUUCAACUAUGUUGAGAGUUGAAUUGUAUUUUGUACAUAAUUGUUGAGUUGUUGAGUGAGUAGAGAGUAUCCUCGAACCCUUUUAUAUAAAGUUAUUUUAGGGCCACAGGUAUUGGCCCAAAGCAUGUCAAAGACUUGUAGAAGUCUUCAACGAUGAAUGUCGUAGGCAAUCACGUUCACUACCUCUUGAUAUAAUGCUGCUAGCUAGAUAAGGCUAGCGAACUUAUGGAUAAACAUGCAUACGCCUUGGACCUCCUAGUUGUAAUCAACCACGAUGUCUUCGCGGAGAAACUUUGAGUCCUACUUGAUAUACCCCUCGCGAAGCAAUACAACCCAAAGAGGACACGCCUAUUUUAUAUGCAUGCUUCUUCCAAAGACACGUACUAGGCGAUAUGCACCAUAUGACAUAAUUAAAGGCUUGAAUCCUUAGCUAUUGAUUUUGAAUAUGAGAAAGAUAUGUAUUAAUGUUGAGAAAACUUGUACAAGAUACAAACUAUAUAUAGAGGUAAGAACACAAGCUAUAGACCAAUAGAUCAAGUUCCUAACCUAAUCACCAUGUGAACUAAAAUCCUAGGGAAGAUAAACCACUGUAGAGAAGGAGUAAGAUAAUGUCCCUUAAUUUAAGAGACAACCUCAAAUCUAAUUAGAAUAAGUAUGGGACAGGAGAAGUGUAAAAUAAGUUAAUAGCUAACACACUAGGUAAUAACUAACACCCUAGGUAAUAGCUUCUAACAUUAGCCAAUGUGCACACAUGUACUCAUUAAACAAUUGAGGAUAACUAUUCUCAUCUUCAAUCAAGCAUGUGAAGGCGGAGUCCUUCAUGCAAACUGAUCCUCUUCGCGUGCCAACUUCAGACCCUCUCUCAUGCGGAGUCUUUCUCUCCUACGUGAAGCCACCCCUCACGCGAACUAUGUCACUCAACUCGCAUGACUCUGUUGGCGGGUCAUCACUUGUAAACCCAUUAUUUUGGGCUCGUCGGUAUGACGUGGAUCAUGAAUUUAACUAAUAUUCAUAUAGACAAUUAAUGUCCAGUAAAAUAUUAAUUUGGGUGUAAACAUAUAGGCCAAAUGCAAAGCUAUGAGGAAGCAAACAUGUUAGCCACAUCAACAAAGAUUCUUUUGGAUUUUAGCAACUUGUCUGAAAAACUAGGAUAGAUAGGAUCAUAGGGAUUCUUCCAGUCACAAGGGGAAUGAAGCCAAAAGAAAAGGACAAAUGCUUUUGAAAAACUAUUUAGUUUUAGUCAGGUAUAAAGACACUACAAAACCACUUUUCCUAAAAGGACACUUAGGACAGCUAAUAGCUUGGGCGGUGCAUGACAUGGGCCACCUGCUGACUUUGGUUUGUGUAUCACAAAACCGAACUGGACCCUUGAGGCACAAGAUCAACAUGUGGUCACGGGUUGGUUUGCCACACCACCCUAGAUUGACUUGGAGCUCAAGUACGAAUAUACAAAUGUUUUGCUAAAAGGGAUUUGAAAUUCAAACAUUUAAAAACUGAAGCAAAUACAUUUAAAUAUGCACAUGGUCAGACUCAACAGAUAAGAUAGAUACAGCAGAGGUAUCCAUCUAAAUUGAAUGACAAGCAGAGCUGCCAUCCUUAGUGAAAGAAUGUGAUGCACAUGCAUGAACUACCUGAUGCAUAUGAUAUCUAUCAGGUUCUUCAUUCUUCACUUGAGUAGUCCUUGCUACCAGGCUACAACAUGUAGCAUGUAUCCUUAUGUUUUGAUCAUAAAGGGAUAACCAACAAUUCUUAUACCAACACACCCAGACCAAAAUAAAAAGGGGAACAUACACAAAGGCACUGCAGACUCUAUAACAUAGAUACAACAAAAUAAAGAAAUCCUAAUUAGACCAAAUGUGCAAUCAGAGUCAACCAUAUAAAUUAUUUUUUCACAUUAAACAAAAAACCCCAGAACCAAUCCCAUCCUAACUCUUAAAAACUCAUAGCUAAAAGGAUUGGGGAACACCUUGAUUGAUGAAAUUAAUGUGAAACAGAUAAAAAGAGCAAUCUUUUCCAAAUGAAAAUUCUUCAAGAACCCAGCAAAAUAACAAUGAUUUGAGAAAAUUUAACUAUAUAAAGACAAAAGGAAUCAAUCAACUUUGCUAACUGAAAACAUCAUUCAUUGACAACAUCAUGAUUGAAAACUAUGACCAACCCAAAUGAAGAGAAUUUGGAUUACCUGGAUGGAGUAGGAAGUGGGUGGUACUUGGUAGUGAGGAUUGAACUACUACUACUUCUUCUUCUUCCUCAAAACUUCUUAAAAAUAAAAUAAAAUUACCAUGGGCAUGCACGACAUUGUUUGUACGGGUCGUCCAUAUGUCGCCGUCUGAAACACUCUAAACUGCACCACAUAGAUUCACAUAGUGAUGUCGGCGUGGGAUUGGGCUUUAGGCUUCCUCUCAGGCCUCGACAGUUAAACUAUUUAUUCUUAGAGCUAGAAAAAUAAAUAAAUAAGUGGACAAUAACAUAACUUGUGCCACUUAUCGACAACACAACUACAAGCAAGAGCAUAAAACAAUUUUUUUUUUGAGAAGAAAUAACUUUAUUGAUAACGGAAUAAAAUUACAGCAUAAUAGAAUGACCGGUUAUGGUACCUACACCACGACACACAUUCCCAAAAAGAUCUGUAGUUACGGGUCCAUCGCCAACAGCAAUAUCCAUGAGCCAAGUAGGUCCAACCCCUAACCCAAUUUCACGCUCAGAAAGAGCUACACAGUCUUGAGAGUAACGAUACAACCUUGCCGUCAACACUAAAACGAGUAAAUUCCCCGUCUUCAAUACCGUGUCCAAAUACCACCAGACCACGUGCAAAAGCAAUCUACUCUCAUGUUGCCACACAGACCGCACCGAUAUUAAAGUCGAUAGUCGCCAGGAAUAACGCCACCAAAGUAGCAUACUGACCAGAACACGACACCCUAACCCUCGCCCAAAAGAGGAGGGACUUAGACCUAAACAAAAAUCUAAAUAAACACUAACCAAAAAACAGAAACCAACAAAGGACCAAACCUGGCCCAAAACCACACCACUGGUCCAAGCCCACCAAACCAGUACCAUUGAAGGCCUAAACCUGCUCCACCCAGUCCAAAACAGCAACUGCAUCGUCACCUCCGUUUCACCCUGUUUCUACCUCUUUCCGAGUUCACGGGACGGGAG
Molecule: long non-coding RNA, 8802 nt
Filed under: Fragaria vesca (wild strawberry)
Lineage: Eukaryota; Viridiplantae; Streptophyta; Magnoliopsida; Rosales; Rosaceae
Description: long non-coding RNA (FVES_LNC003200)
Source: RNAcentral